RNAcentral lists this ribosomal RNA (253 nucleotides) under uncultured bacterium. RNAcentral describes it as "partial 16S ribosomal RNA". It matches the Rfam family "Bacterial small subunit ribosomal RNA", at positions 524 to 776 of the family's 1533-position model. The record is from RNAcentral.
UACGAAGGGGGCUAGCGUUGCUCGGAAUCACUGGGCGUAAAGGGUGCGUAGGCGGGUUUUUAAGUCAGGGGUGAAAUCCUGGAGCUCAACUCCAGAACUGCCUUUGAUACUGAAGAUCUCGAGUCCGGGAGAGGUGAGUGGAACUGCGAGUGUAGAGGUGAAAUGCGUAGAUAUCAGGAGGAACACCGGUGGUGUAAACGGCUCUCUGGACCGUAACUGACGCUGAGGCACGAAAGCGUGGGUAGCAAACAGG